UACGUAGGGGGCAAGCGUUGUCCGGAUUUACUGGGCGUAAAGAGCGCGUAGGCGGAAGCUUAAGCGGUGCCUGAAAGCCCCCGGCUCAACCGGGGAGGGUGGUGCCGAACUGAGCUUCUUGAGGGCGAUAGAGGAGAGUGGAAUUCCGGGUGUAGCGGUGAAAUGCGUAGAGAUCCGGAGGAACACCAGUGGCGCAGGCGGCUCUCUGGGUCGGCCCUGACGCUGAGGCGCGAAACGCGUGGGGAGCGAACGGGAUUAGACUACCCGUCG
Molecule: ribosomal RNA, 270 nt
Filed under: uncultured bacterium
Lineage: Bacteria
Description: partial 16S ribosomal RNA
Rfam family: Bacterial small subunit ribosomal RNA
Source: RNAcentral